This 580-nucleotide ribosomal RNA is filed under the name uncultured bacterium. Its description in RNAcentral is "bacterial SSU rRNA". It matches the Rfam family "Bacterial small subunit ribosomal RNA", at positions 340 to 911 of the family's 1533-position model. The record is from RNAcentral.
UACGGGAGGCAGCAGUGGGGAAUAUUGGACAAUGGGCGCAAGCCUGAUCCAGCCAUACCGCGUGGGUGAAGAAGGCCUUCGGGUUGUAAAGCCCUUUUGUUGGGAAAGAAAUCCAGCCGGCUAAUACCUGGUUGGGAUGACGGUACCCAAAGAAUAAGCACCGGCUAACUUCGUGCCAGCAGCCGCGGUAAUACGAAGGGUGCAAGCGUUACUCGGAAUUACUGGGCGUAAAGCGUGCGUAGGUGGUCGUUUAAGUCCGUUGUGAAAGCCCUGGGCUCAACCUGGGAACUGCAGUGGAUACUGGGCGACUAGAGUGUGGUAGAGGGUAGCGGAAUUCCUGGUGUAGCAGUGAAAUGCGUAGAGAUCAGGAGGAACAUCCAUGGCGAAGGCAGCUACCUGGACCAACACUGACACUGAGGCACGAAAGCGUGGGGAGCAAACAGGAUUAGAUACCCUGGUAGUCCACGCCCUAAACGAUGCGAACUGGAUGUUGGGUGCAAUUUGGCACGCAGUAUCGAAGCUAACGCGUUAAGUUCGCCGCCUGGGGAGUACGGUCGCAAGACUGAAACUCAAAGGAAUU